Molecule: long non-coding RNA, 958 nt
Filed under: Homo sapiens (human)
Lineage: Eukaryota; Metazoa; Chordata; Mammalia; Primates; Hominidae
Description: HSALNT0164096
Source: RNAcentral
CCCACAGCCCCUACUGCAUCAUUACCAGCCUGACCUGAGUCCCCUGCUACGACCCAUGCUGCUCCCAUUUCUUCUGCUCCCAUGUGAUGCUGGGCACAGGGAAACUUGGGGGACCCCACCAGGCGCUGAGGCUCUUCCUGGAGUCUGGGGAGAGGGAGAGGUGCCAUCUAGCAAAGGUCUGCAGCAACACCUGCAAACAUGCUGCUUCUGCCCUGCACUGCUCAAGAACAAACUCUGUUCUGCUGCAGCAUCCUGGUGGGCUCUCCACAGCCCCCAUCGAGAGUGUGGCUCCAUCUUCCCCGGCAAGAAGUGCAAGUCCCUUGAGGCCGGGAGCUGCACCCAGCUCACCUGUUUCCCGAACUGGGCCCAGCUGAGGGGCUCCAGUUCUCACCAUGACAACAAUCACGUCUAAGGCCCAGAGAGGGGAAGGGACUCAUCCAGAGCACGCAGCCUGGUGCCACAGCCCUUAGAUUGGAUCUGCAAGGAGCCAGGAGCCCCAGUGGCUCUGUUCUCAACUUCCAGACCAUUAUCUCAAGGUCCUUAUCAAGACCUCCCCACUCUGGGCAACCAGGAGCCAGGAUACAAAGUUUUAAGCUAGCCCCUCUCCAGCCGCAAACCCAGGUUGGUUUCUUGGGUUCUUCACCCUGCAACAAGUUGGGCCACCUGCUUUUUUGCAGCUAGACUGAAAGGCAAUUGAUAUGGUUUGUCUCCAGCCAAAUCUCAUCUGGAACUGUAAUCCCCAAGUGUGGAGGGAGGGACCUUGUGGGAGGUGAUUGGAUAAUGGGGACGGUUUCCCCCAUGCUGUUCUUGUGAUGGUGAGUGAGUGCUCAUGAGAUCCGAUGUUUUAAAAGUUUUUGGCGUUUCCCCUCACUGUUCUCUCUCCUGGGGCCAUGAGAAGACGUGCCUUGCUUCCCCUUUGCCUUCUGCCAUGAUUGCAAGUUUCCUGAGGCCUCCCCAG